UACGGAAGGUGCAAGCGUUAGUGGGAAUUAUUGGGCGUAAAGGGUGCGUAGGCGGGAACAAAAGUCGGCUGUGAAAUUCUGAGGCUUAACCUCAGAGCUGCAUCCGAAACUGCGUUUCUAGAGGAACGGCGGAGAAGACGGAAUUCCAUGUGUAGCGGUGAAAUGCGUAGAUAUAUGGAAGAACACCUGUGGCGAAAGCGGUCUUCUAGCCUCCUCCUGACGCUGAGGCACGAAAGCAAGGGGAGCAAACAGG
This 253-nucleotide ribosomal RNA is filed under the name uncultured bacterium. RNAcentral describes it as "partial 16S ribosomal RNA". It matches the Rfam family "Bacterial small subunit ribosomal RNA", at positions 524 to 776 of the family's 1533-position model. The record is from RNAcentral.